AUUGAACGCUGGCGGCAGGCCUAACACAUGCAAGUCGAGCGGAUGAAGGGACUUUGUUCCUGGAUUCAGCGCCGGAUAGGCGUGAAAUGCCUCGAAAUCUGCAUGGUAGUGGGGGAUAACGUCCGGAUACGGGCGAUAAUACCGCAUCCUUCCUCCGGGACACAGUGGGGGAUCUUCGUCCCUCACGCUCUCCGCUGAGCCUCGGUCGGAUUGGCUAGUUGGUGGGGUAACGGCCUACCAAGGCGCCGAACCGUAACUGGUCUGAGAGGAUGAACAGUCACACUAGGACUGAGACACCGUCCAGACUCCUACGGGAUGCAGCAGUCGGGAAUAUUGGACAAUGGGCGAAAGCCUGAUCCAGCCAUGCCGCGCGUGUGAAGAAGGUCCUCGGAGUGUAAAGCACUUUAAGUUGGGAGGAAGGGCAGUAAGUUAAUACCUUGCUGUUUUGACGUUACCAACAGAAUAAGCACCGGCUAACUUCGUG
Molecule: ribosomal RNA, 484 nt
Filed under: uncultured bacterium
Lineage: Bacteria
Description: partial 16S ribosomal RNA
Rfam family: Bacterial small subunit ribosomal RNA
Source: RNAcentral